GAUGAAGAACGUAGCGAAAUGCGAUACUUGGUGUGAAUUGCAGAAUCCCGUGAACCAUCGAGUCUUUGAACGCAAGUUGCGCCCGAAGCCAUUAGGCCGAGGGCACGCCUGCCUGGGCGUCACACGUCGUUGCCCCCCCAUCUAAUCCUUCGGGAUUGUGGGGGGCGGAUGAUGGCCUCCCGUGCGCCUCGUCGCGCGGUUGGCAUAAAUGCCAAGUCCUCGGCGACGCACGCCACGACAAUCGGUGGUUGCGAAACCUCGGUUGCCCGUCGUGUGCGGUCGUCGCGCAUCGAGGGCUCGAAAAAAUUGCCGGGCUCCGGCUCGACUUUCAACGCGACCCCAGGUCAGGCGGGGUUACCCGCUGAAUUUAAGCAUAUCAAUAAGCGGAGGA
RNAcentral lists this unclassified non-coding RNA (391 nucleotides) under soil metagenome. Its description in RNAcentral is "partial contains 5.8S ribosomal RNA, internal transcribed spacer 2, and large subunit ribosomal RNA". The stretch from base 1 to 122 matches the Rfam family "5.8S ribosomal RNA", at positions 35 to 154 of the family's 154-position model. The record is from RNAcentral.